Molecule: ribosomal RNA, 900 nt
Filed under: Salmonella enterica
Lineage: Bacteria; Pseudomonadati; Pseudomonadota; Gammaproteobacteria; Enterobacterales; Enterobacteriaceae
Description: partial 23S ribosomal RNA
Rfam family: Bacterial large subunit ribosomal RNA
Source: RNAcentral
GGUUAACCGAAUAGGGGAGCCGGAGGGAAACCGAGUCUUAAUUGGGCGUUAAGUUGCAGGGUAUAGACCCGAAACCCGGUGAUCUAGCCAUGGGCAGGUUGAAGGUUGGGUAACACUAACUGGAGGACCGAACCGACUAAUGUUGAAAAAUUAGCGGAUGACCUGUGGCUGGGGGUGAAAGGCCAAUCAAACCGGGAGAUAGCUGGUUCUCCCCGAAAGCUAUUUAGGUAGCGCCUCGUGAAUUCAUCUCCGGGGGUAGAGCACUGUUUCGGCUAGGGGGCCAUCCCGGCUUACCAACCCGAUGCAAACUGCGAAUACCGGAGAAUGUUAUCACGGGAGACACACGGCGGGUGCUAACGUCCGUCGUGAAGAGGGAAACAACCCAGACCGCCAGCUAAGGUCCCAAAGUCAUGGUUAAGUGGGAAACGAUGUGGGAAGGCCCAGACAGCCAGGAUGUUGGCUUAGAAGCAGCCAUCAUUUAAAGAAAGCGUAAUAGCUCACUGGUCGAGUCGGCCUGCGCGGAAGAUGUAACGGGGCUAAACCAUGCACCGAAGCUGCGGCAGCGACACUCAGGUGUUGUUGGGUAGGGGAGCGUUCUGUAAGCCUGCGAAGGUGGCCUGUGAGGGUUGCUGGAGGUAUCAGAAGUGCGAAUGCUGACAUAAGUAACGAUAAAGCGGGUGAAAAGCCCGCUCGCCGGAAGACCAAGGGUUCCUGUCCAACGUUAAUCGGGGCAGGGUGAGUCGACCCCUAAGGCGAGGCCGAAAGGCGUAGUCGAUGGGAAACGGGUUAAUAUUCCCGUACUUGGUGUUACUGCGAAGGGGGGACGGAGAAGGCUAUGUUGGCCGGGCGACGGUUGUCCCGGUUUAAGCGUGUAGGUGUGUGUUCCAGGUAAAUCCGGUU